ACAAGCAGCGGAGCGUGUGGUUUAAUUCGAUGUUACACGAAGAACCUUACCAGGGUUUGACAUGCAAGUGGUAGGAAACCGAAAGGUGACCGACCCUUCGGGGAGCUUGCACAGGUGCUGCAUGGCUGUCGUCAGCUCGUGUCGUGAGAUGUUGGGUUAAGUCCCGCAACGAGCGCAACCCUUGCCAUUAGUUGCUACGAAAGGGCACUCUAAUGGGACUGCCGGUGACAAACCGGAGGAAGGUGGGGAUGACGUCAAGUCCUCAUGGCCCUUAUAGGUGGGGCUACACACGUCAUACAAUGGCCGGUACAGAGGGUAGCCAACCCGCGAGGGGGAGCCAAUCCCACAAAGCCGGUCGUAGUCCGGAUCGCAGUCUGCAACUCGACUGCGUGAAGUCGGAAUCGCUAGUAAUCGCGGAUCAGCAUGUCGCGGUGAAUACGUUCCCGGGUCUU
Molecule: ribosomal RNA, 452 nt
Filed under: uncultured Longilinea sp.
Lineage: Bacteria; Bacillati; Chloroflexota; Anaerolineae; Anaerolineales; Anaerolineaceae
Description: bacterial SSU rRNA
Rfam family: Bacterial small subunit ribosomal RNA
Source: RNAcentral